This 342-nucleotide unclassified non-coding RNA is filed under the name uncultured fungus. RNAcentral describes it as "partial contains 5.8S ribosomal RNA and internal transcribed spacer 2". The stretch from base 1 to 133 matches the Rfam family "5.8S ribosomal RNA", at positions 22 to 154 of the family's 154-position model. The record is from RNAcentral. Lineage: Eukaryota; Fungi.
UGGUUCUGGCAUCGAUGAAGAACGCAGCGAAAUGCGAUAAGUAAUGUGAAUUGCAGAAUUCAGUGAAUCAUCGAAUCUUUGAACGCACAUUGCGCCCGCCAGUAUUCUGGCGGGCAUGCCUGUUCGAGCGUCAUUUCAACCACUCAGGCCCUGGUGCCUGGCGUCGGGGUUUCUCCGUAAAAAGAGAGCCCCUAGAAAUAGUGGCGGACCCGCCGCGGCUCCGAGCGUAGUAGUAAAAUAUCUCGCUUUGGAGGUCCGUGGGGGGAUCACCGGCCGUAAAACCUCUUCUUUACUGAAGAAUUUCUCAAGGUUGACCUCGGAUCAGGUAGGAAUACCCGCUGA